Molecule: small RNA, 60 nt
Filed under: Arabidopsis thaliana (thale cress)
Lineage: Eukaryota; Viridiplantae; Streptophyta; Magnoliopsida; Brassicales; Brassicaceae
Description: ATSL058320
Source: RNAcentral
UAGGUUCUUCAUUAUCUAUCAGUGUUCUUCAUUAUAAAUCAGUGCUAUGUUUGUUGGUGU